UGGGAGGCUUUGAAGUGUGGACGCCAGUCUGCAUGGAGCCGACCUUGAAAUACCACCCUUUAAUGUUUGAUGUUCUAACGUGGACCCGUGAUCCGGGUUGCGGACAGUGUCUGGUGGGUAGUUUGACUGGGGCGGUCUCCUCCUAAAGAGUAACGGAGGAGCACGAAGGUUGGCUAAUCCUGGUCGGACAUCAGGAGGUUAGUGCAAUGGCAUAAGCCAGCUUGACUGCGAGCGUGACGGCGCGAGCAGGUGCGAAAGCAGGUCAUAGUGAUCCGGUGGUUCUGAAUGGAAGGGCCAUCGCUCAACGGAUAAAAGGUACUCCGGGGAUAACAGGCUGAUACCGCCCAAGAGUUCAUAUCGACGGCGGUGUUUGGCACCUCGAUGUCGGCUCAUCACAUCCUGGGGCUGAAGUAGGUCCCAAGGGUAUGGCUGUUCGCCAUUUAAAGUGGUACGCGAGCUGGGUUUAGAACGUCGUGAGACAGUUCGGUCCCUAUCUGCCGUGGGCGCUGGAGAACUGAGGGGGGCUGCUCCUAGUACGAGAGGACCGGAGUGGACGCAUCACUGGUGUUCGGGUUGUCAUGCCAAUGGCACUGCCCGGUAGCUAAAUGCGGAAGAGAUAAGUGCUGAAAGCAUCUAAGCACGAAACUUGCCCCGAGAUGAGUUCUCCCUGACCCUUUAAGGGUCCUGAAGGAACGUUGAAGACGACGACGUUGAUAGGCCGGGUGUGUAAGCGCAGCGAUGCGUUGAGCUAACCGGUACUAAUGAACCGUGAGGCUUAACCUUACAACGCCGAAGGUGUUU
RNAcentral lists this ribosomal RNA (801 nucleotides) under Escherichia coli. Its description in RNAcentral is "partial 23S ribosomal RNA". It matches the Rfam family "Bacterial large subunit ribosomal RNA", at positions 2148 to 2925 of the family's 2925-position model. The record is from RNAcentral. Lineage: Bacteria; Pseudomonadati; Pseudomonadota; Gammaproteobacteria; Enterobacterales; Enterobacteriaceae.